Molecule: long non-coding RNA, 241 nt
Organism: Puntigrus tetrazona (Sumatra barb)
Lineage: Eukaryota; Metazoa; Chordata; Actinopteri; Cypriniformes; Cyprinidae
Exons: 3
Source: RefSeq, a predicted model, not a curated record
GACCCCAGCAAGUUUCAGGACAGCUGGAGACUAUCUGAUGGGUUUGUAGCUGCAGAAGCCAAAGUCAUAUUGCCUCACAGAGCACGAUCCAGACCAGACCUCAUGGACAACUACCUGGCACUACUGCUGUCUGCCUUUAUCAAUAGUGGACUGCUGGAGGGUCUGGUGGAGGUAGUGACCAGCAGUGAUGGACAGAUAUCAGUGAGGGCCACUAUACUGCUUGGAGAACUUCUGCACAUGG